UACGUAGGGGGCGAGCGUUGUCCGGAUUCAUUGGGCGUAAAGAGCUUGUAGGCGGCUUGGCAAGUCGGGUGUGAAAACUCCAGGCUCAACCUGGAGACGCCACCCGAUACUGCUAUGGCUUGAGUCCGGUAGGGGAUCACGGAAUUCCUGGUGUAGCGGUGAAAUGCACAGAUAUCAGGAGGAACACCAGUGGCGAAGGCGGUGAUCUGGGCCGGUACUGACGCUGAGAAGCGAAAGCGUGGGUAGCAAACAGG
This 254-nucleotide ribosomal RNA is filed under the name uncultured bacterium. RNAcentral describes it as "partial 16S ribosomal RNA". It matches the Rfam family "Bacterial small subunit ribosomal RNA", at positions 524 to 776 of the family's 1533-position model. The record is from RNAcentral.